GAUGAACGCUGGCGGCGUGCCUAAUACAUGCAAGUCGAGCGAACAGACGCGGAGCUUGCUCCUCUGACGUUAGCGGCGGACGGGUGAGUAACACGUGGAUAACCUACCUAUAAGACUGGGAUAACUUCGGGAAACCGGAGCUAAUACCGGAUAACAUGUUGAACCGCAUGGUUCAACAGUGAAAGACGGUCUUGCUGUCACUUAUAGAUGGAUCCGCGCCGCAUUAGCUAGUUGGUAAGGUAACGGCUUACCAAGGCAACGAUGCGUAGCCGACCUGAGAGGGUGAUAGGCCACACUGGAACUGAGACACGGUCCAGACGCCUACGGGAGGCAGCAGUAGGGAAUCUUCCGCAAUGGGCGAAAGCCUGACGGAGCAACGCCGCGUGAGUGAAGAAGGUCUUCGGAUCGUAAAACUCUGUUAUUAGGGAAGAACAAAUGUGUAAGUAACUAUGCACGUCUUGACGGUACCUAAUCAGAAAGCCACGGCUAACUACGUG
RNAcentral lists this ribosomal RNA (497 nucleotides) under uncultured bacterium. Its description in RNAcentral is "partial 16S ribosomal RNA". It matches the Rfam family "Bacterial small subunit ribosomal RNA", at positions 28 to 507 of the family's 1533-position model. The record is from RNAcentral.